UACGUAGGGGGCAAGCGUUAUCCGGAAUUACUGGGUGUAAAGGGUACGUAGGCGGCCCAUUAAGUCAGAUGUGAAAGCCCGGAGCUCAACUCCGGGAUUGCAUUUGAAAACUGGUGGGCUAGAGUACAGGAGAGGAAAGUGGAAUUCCUAGUGUAGCGGUGAAAUGCGUAGAUAUUAGGAAGAACACCAGUGGCGAAAGGCGGCUUUCUGGACUGUAACUGACGCUGAGGCACGAAAGCGUGGGUAUCAAACAGG
Molecule: ribosomal RNA, 255 nt
Filed under: uncultured bacterium
Lineage: Bacteria
Description: partial 16S ribosomal RNA
Rfam family: Bacterial small subunit ribosomal RNA
Source: RNAcentral